RNAcentral lists this ribosomal RNA (909 nucleotides) under Lactiplantibacillus plantarum. RNAcentral's name for it is "bacterial SSU rRNA". It matches the Rfam family "Bacterial small subunit ribosomal RNA", at positions 27 to 931 of the family's 1533-position model. The record is from RNAcentral. Lineage: Bacteria; Bacillati; Bacillota; Bacilli; Lactobacillales; Lactobacillaceae.
GAACGAACUCUGGGUAUUGAUUGAUGCUUGCAUCAUGAUUUACAUCCUGAGUGAGUGGCGAACUGGUGAGUAACACGUGGGAAACCUGCCCAGAAGCGGGGGAUAACACCUGGAAACAGAUGCUAAUACCGCAUAACAACUUGGACCGCAUGGUCCGAGUUUGAAAGAUGGCUUCGGCUAUCACUUUUGGAUGGUCCCGCGGCGUAUUAGCUAGAUGGUGAGGUAACGGCUCACCAUGGCAAUGAUACGUAGCCGACCUGAGAGGGUAAUCGGCCACAUUGGGACUGAGACACGGCCCAAACUCCUACGGGAGGCAGCAGUAGGGAAUCUUCCACAAUGGACGAAAGUCUGAUGGAGCAACGCCGCGUGAGUGAAGAAGGGUUUCGGCUCGUAAAACUCUGUUGUUAAAGAAGAACAUAUCUGAGAGUAACUGUUCAGGUAUUGACGGUAUUUAACCAGAAAGCCACGGCUAACUACGUGCCAGCAGCCGCGGUAAUACGUAGGUGGCAAGCGUUGUCCGGAUUUAUUGGGCGUAAAGCGAGCGCAGGCGGUUUUUUAAGUCUGAUGUGAAAGCCUUCGGCUCAACCGAAGAAGUGCAUCGGAAACUGGGAAACUUGAGUGCAGAAGAGGACAGUGGAACUCCAUGUGUAGCGGUGAAAUGCGUAGAUAUAUGGAAGAACACCAGUGGCGAAGGCGGCUGUCUGGUCUGUAACUGACGCUGAGGCUCGAAAGUAUGGGUAGCAAACAGGAUUAGAUACCCUGGUUAGUCCAUACCGUAAACGAUGAAUGCUAAGUGUUGGGAGGGUUUCCGCCCUUCAGUGCUGCAGCUAACGCAUUAAGCAAUUCCGGCCUGGGGAGUACGGCCGCAAGGCUGAAACUCAAAGGAAUUGACGGGGGCCCGCACAAGCG